GGACAAUACGACCAAUAUAUCUGAUGUGUAAGGCAUCUACAAUAUCUGAUCAUCACGCUGCUGAUCUAACUGAUCCUUAUAAUAUAUAAUUGUGUGCGACACUGGAUUGUGUGUAAGGCAUACAUACCAAUCAAUCGAGUCCUCCACCUGUCCAAAAUAAAGCCACUAUGUUAUAUGAAAAUAUACAGUUAUUUAUCAUAUAAAAUCAGUGCUACUGGUUACAUACCUGCAUCCUAGUGGAUCAGUCUGAUAAUGCUGUACACUACCAAAUGGACCUUCAAAACCAACAUCAUCCACAUCUAACGGGACAUAUCCUGUUACAUCACCUCUCGCUACCGACUAAUGGGCUCC
This 351-nucleotide long non-coding RNA is filed under the name Elaeis guineensis (African oil palm). Its description in RNAcentral is "long non-coding RNA (EGUI_LNC000366)". The record is from RNAcentral. Lineage: Eukaryota; Viridiplantae; Streptophyta; Magnoliopsida; Arecales; Arecaceae.